Long non-coding RNA from Pyrus x bretschneideri (Chinese white pear), 3915 nucleotides. RefSeq lists it as uncharacterized. The transcript is spliced from 2 exons. The record is from RefSeq and is a predicted model, not a curated record. NCBI's taxonomy places the organism in Eukaryota, Viridiplantae, Streptophyta, Magnoliopsida, Rosales, Rosaceae.
UCAAUUAAUAUAUGAUCAUCUCUCUAUAAAUUAAGCCCCUGAUGCUUGUGAUAAAACCAGGCUAGGCUAGCACACAUCCUCUCUGCCCAGAUCAGAGAUGGAUAUAAAUUUCCAGCCGUGCAGAAUCUGAAAGAAGAGAUUCUAUGCUAUUUUUAUACAUGGGUGAGUACUUUCCGUGCUGUGCUUGUCAUGCGAGCAGCCCUUUCUUGGAUUGCCCUUUGUUUCGUUGUCUGUUCGACCUUGAAAUAUAUAUAAAAACCCUAGCUCGAAUUGUCUUGCAUAGUUAUAGGAUUAGAGAAUAUUCAGCUUCCAGGACCACUUUCUUUUUUUCUUUCGUGAGUAACCAGAUUUGUUUAUGUGUCGAUCAACUUAAUUGAUUAAUUACUAUAAUUGGUUUUGGGUUUUCUCAUACAUAAUCUUACCUGGAAAAUGUGCCCACCCUCCAUGAAUUUUAUGAGGCAAACAAAUUGACUAAUAAUAUGAUUUGCAUGAAUUACAUGUGUGCAUUUUAUGUGUUGUUUGGUAGAUGUACAGCUUUGCAUGUGAAUUUCAGGUACAGUGAGAAUUCCAAAACGCUAGUUGGGUACAUAUAUAUGUAGAUAUAUAGCUAGAGUGAUAGAAUAUCCAUUCAAUUUCACCCUCUAAUGUUAUCAACUUUAGUCUAAUUGAAAUUUUGGUUCAUGAACUAAAAGGUCAUGAGUAUUGGCCUUUGAACUUGUCACAAUAUAGAGCAAUGGUCCAUUUGAGUAACCUAUUAUAAAUUUCAUCCAAAAUAAAGAGUUUAAAAGGUAAAAUACUGGAUGGAUAUUAUAACAGAGUUACCCACAAAGACUUUUGCUACAAAUCGUAAUAAGUAAUUUAGAGAGAAAUACUCACGAGUUAAACCAUAUAUUUGUGUAUAAGCUAGUUUUAAUAGGAAUAUGUCUGUAUUUACUUCAUCUUAAACAAUAUAUAAUUGAAUUAAUGGGUUAUAUUGCCUUUCUUAUGACAUAUGGAGCGUAGCAUAUUUUUACACAACUGAAAUAUGGACUGCUAAUUAACGUUGAAGGCAAGGUUAAGAUUCUAGCACAUAUAGAUGGCUAGAGUGAUGCAUGCAAUUAGUUUUGGCCCUUUUCCAUGAUCGAGGGUCAAUGGCAAGGUGAAAAUAAGGUGAUGUUGGAAAAUAUGAACUCUAGGUCUCCUCCUCCAUACAGUUAAGUAAUUUACCAUACUACAGUUCAAAUAACUUGAUCGAUUCCCUCUCUACCUUAAAAUUUGAGAAGGUAACUAGAAAAUGGCUUAUUGUAUAUUAGCUAAUUAAGGGUAUGCAAAUGCAAGGUUGAUCUGACAAUGAAUAUGAGGUUUAUGCAAGGGACUGUUCGCUUGACAAGGUUUUGCAUGGAAUGUGACACCCGAAUCGAUCUCCAACCCUCUCUUCAAAUUGUCUCGAUCUGUCAGUUUUCUAAUUGUCCCCAUUACUGCCACACCCAUAACUUUCUUCACCGAACAUGGCGUACACCAGCCCAGGCAGCACCUGGUAUCCGGGUCUGAUCUCUCUUUCUCUCUCAAAUAACUGAAUGCUACUACUGAAUUUUAUAAACUGACUAUAUUGGAAUGCACAAUAACAGUUCCUAAUUUAGUCACAAGGACUUAUAAUUGAUCACAAAGUUGGAUCAAGUAUAAUCUUCUCAACCCUACUUUUAACUACAAUUGAGUAUACAGAUGAGCUUAUUGUUUAUCUUUAUUUCCCGUAUGGCUAAAUGUAUAAUAGCUGAUUUAAUUUGUUUUCAAUGACCCAAGCAAAGCCCAUGGAUGACACGAUACAAGCACUCUGGUCUUGGCUGGCAUAAACAGGCCAAUAUGGUAAGUAACUGGUGUGGAGCAAAAAAUAAUUCAGAAAAUUCUAGAGCUGACAUGUGGACUUUUAUUCACAAUCGACGAGAUGUUCUUUAUUAAAUUGACGAGGCCCACAUCCACUCCACGUGCAGUUCAAUCACGAACUAAAGAUAUAACUAAUAACCGACCUUUAAGCUGUCCUCAUUGAAGACAGGUCGGCCCUAGCUAUUCUACUAGGCAUCAUAUGUUCAUUGUCCCCGUGCCUCCCCAUUACAACCCCACCCCCCCCGCCCCCCGCGCCCCCACCCCCCCUCCCCAAAAAAGAAAACGCUGAGGCAUCAUAUGUUCAUUGUCCCCGUAUGUGGAGCUCUUUCUGCACACUCCCUCUUAGUUAUGGUCUUUAAUUCACUUACAAUCCAUAUAGGCGUCGUAUGUGGAGCUGCUCUAACUACUUGUUCUCAUCAUGUACGAGAGUUGUAAGUAUCAAUCACAGAUGAUGAUGCAAGUAUUGUCCUUAUUGAUAUGUACAAUAAUGAUGUGCAGGAAAAGGAAGUUUCCAUAGCUAGGUCAUCGCAAGGCCAAGCUAUAUGAUGACCUACUUCUGUUCUCUAGCUUGCUACAUAAUAUAAUCUGGACUGGAGUGUACGUAGGACCUCCAUUAGCUUGGAGCCUGGCAAGAUCUCUGAUGAGCACAUUAUAUAUAUUGCUUAUCCAGUUAAUUAAACAGCUCAUGAUCAAACUAACACAAGUAAAACCAUCUCCAGUUUUCUAUUGAUCGAGAUGUUUAAGGAGAAUGCACAUACAGUUUCCGUUAUAAAAAUGUUGGUUUGAUUUCUAGCAACAUAUAUAGUAGGAAUUAUGAUCUUCCAAGCCCUACGUAUGUAGGCUGAAGUUUUUCUUUGUUACGCUAUUUCUCGUUUUGAUUAUUUACAGAGAGAGAUCUACAAAAUUACUUAAGUAUCUGUACUUAUUUAUAGGGUUCUUUAGAUAUAAGCCCAUGCAAUACUUAUUUUCUUGACAAAAAUCUAUCCAGUUUUAAACAUCCAAAUAAAACCCAAAUUUGCAAUAAACUGCCAUGUAAACAAAUAAAUACCUAUUACUUUCAAAAUAUUUACAAUUGUGCCACAACACCCUAAUUAUGUUGAUGAAUUUAAUUUGGCACAUAAGUGCUUUAUUAUUACAAAAGUAUCUACUUUAUACUUGUCUUACCAUCAUCUGUUCCAUUUCUUAUAUUUGUUUGACAAUCAUUGUAGGUAUGGUAAAUUAUUUUGCAUGUAUACAUUAGGCACAUUUUGUUAUUAUUAUAUCUGUGUGAAAUAAAUUACCUAUAUUUUUAAGUAGAAUAUAGGUAAUUAAUUAACUUUGAAUCAAUUGGCUAAAAACAUCCUUUUAUUUUGUAGGUAAACUAUUUUGCAUGUAUUAUUACAUAUACUAGGCACAUUUUUUUAUUAUUAUGUGUUGUUUGCAAUCAAUCAAUAUUCAUUUAUUCUGUAGGUAAAUUAUUUUACAUGUAUUAUUACAUAUUUUAGGUGCGUUUUGAUAUUAUUAUUGGUAAUUUUGACUAAAAUAACAUUUGUAUGUUUGUGAAAAAUACUAAUUUACCUGUUACAAUUAUUUGAAAAGGGAAAAAAAAUGCUCAUUUUACAUAAAUGUGAAAACAACUAUAUAAGGAAUCAAAACUCUAAUAUCAUGUAAUUUUUGUUAUUAAUAUGCAUUGGAAAUCAUGACACUAAAAUUUUUCUUUUCCAAAUCUGCAUAAACGUUUUAAAACGUUUAAUUGAAUGAAAUAAUAUAAAAUAAAUGUAGAUAACAAGUAAUAGACCCAAAGUCAAUGAUAUUAGGGGUAAUUUAGACGUCCAAAAAUACCAAUUUUGCCAAAUCAUACUUAAUUAUGGAUAUUGCUUAGUUGGAGCCUGGUCAUUGAGUUUUUAUUAUAAAAUUUUACAAUUGUGGGUUUUAGUUAAUGAAAAUUGAAUUCCAAGGGAUAUACUGCAUAUUUUUAGUAUAGGUCAAAUUAAGCACAUGUAUAAUGCAGUAUUGUAAAAGUUGAGGUUCCACUAUAAAAUUAAAUGGUAAUAUAGGGAGAAGCCCAAUUACUUA